UUUCCGUAGGUGAACCUGCGGAAGGAUCAUUAACGAGACGCGCGCCCCGCGCAUCUACAACCCGUGCACCCGUCGACGCUUCCGCCCUAGGGCGUGAGGCGUACGUGUCUCAUAAAACCUUUUGUGACCUCUGAAAACGUACGGCGCGUCUGUCGCCGCUUACAAUCAGAACAACUUUCAACAACGGAUCUCUUGGCUCUCGCAUCGAUGAAGAACGCAGC
This 221-nucleotide unclassified non-coding RNA is filed under the name uncultured fungus. RNAcentral's name for it is "sequence contains ITS1, 5.8S rRNA gene". The stretch from base 173 to 221 matches the Rfam family "5.8S ribosomal RNA", at positions 1 to 49 of the family's 154-position model. Lineage: Eukaryota; Fungi. The record is from RNAcentral.